CCAAUAGCGUAUAUUAAAGUUGUUGCAGUUAAAAAGCUCGUAGUUGAAUUUCGGGAUUAGUACGCUGGUCGUGCCUUCGGUACGUACUGGUGUUACUGAUUCCUACCUUCUGAAUAACCGGCAUGCCAUUAAUUUGGUGCGCCGGGGAAGCAGGACUGUUACCUUGAAAAAAUUAGAGUGUUUAAAGCAGGCUCACGCUUGAAUACAUUAGCAUGGAAUAAUGAAAUAGGACGUUCGAUCCUAUUUUGUUGGUUUUUAGGAUCAACGUAAUGAUUAAUAGGGAUAGUUGGGGGCAUUAGUAUUCAAUUGUCAGAGGUGAAAUUCUUGGAUUUAUUGAAGACUAACUACUGCGAAAGCAUUUGCCAAGGAUGUUUUCAUUAAUCAAGAACGAAAGUUAGGGGAUCGAAGACGAUCAGAUACCGUCGUAGUCUUAACCAUAAACUAUGCCGACUAGGGAUCGGAUGAUGUUAAUUUUUUAAUGACUCAUUCGGCGCCUUACG
This 500-nucleotide ribosomal RNA is filed under the name uncultured Glomeromycotina. RNAcentral's name for it is "SSU rRNA". It matches the Rfam family "Eukaryotic small subunit ribosomal RNA", at positions 591 to 1092 of the family's 1831-position model. The record is from RNAcentral. Lineage: Eukaryota; Fungi; Glomeromycota.